CAGAGUUGCAAACUCCCUAACCCUUGUGAACGUUACCUACCAGUUGCUUCGGCGGGCGGCCCGGUCCCCCCCCUGGGCCCCGCGGCCCCGCCGGAGGUCUACAAACUCUUGAUACUUUAUAGUCCUCUCUGAUUACUUCUUACUAAUAAGUA
Molecule: unclassified non-coding RNA, 152 nt
Filed under: soil metagenome
Description: partial internal transcribed spacer 1
Source: RNAcentral